This is a non-coding RNA of Rhamnusium bicolor, 75 nucleotides long. The record is from the annotation of a GenBank genome assembly. Lineage: Eukaryota; Metazoa; Arthropoda; Insecta; Coleoptera; Cerambycidae.
GGCUUCAUGGUCGAGCGGUAAGGAUACUUGUCUCUCACCCUGGAGUCCCGGGUUCGAACCCCGGUCGAGAAGCUA